AGCCAGGACGCUUCCUGGGAAGAUGUAUGUAGGGCUUUACAGUGGGAUGUGUGGGGCCCAGUCAGUGCCGAGGAGAACUGGCUGAAGGACACACGAAAAGGGGGAAAGAGGCAGAGAAGGGGGUCCCCAAAGUCCAGUGUCACCCGCAUCAGCUAUUCCUAUGAGGGUUGUGCCUAUGGCUGUAGACCCUCCUAAUAUGGUUGAAUCAUAAUGGUUUAGGACACUCACCAGGUGACAUCACUCACCAGCUGGUGUCCAGGGGCUGGAAUGGAUGCCCGAGUUAUAGGACCUGGGAACCAAGGAAGAGAGCAGGAAAGAGCGCACACCAAGAACUCCCACGGCCGCUCAGACCAGUGUCUCCCAUAAUGUCCGCAUUCCAGCCACAUCCUGCACGUGCUGAACCUCAGCCAGGAAGCCACCUUCUCCUCCCACACUCUGCUAAGGGGACUCGGACUUGCCCCUGCGCUUGGCCCAAAUGCCACCUCCCAGAGAGGCCCCCCUGCCCGUACCUACCCCCCAUGCAUUCCACUGUUCUCUGGGGUUUUUUUCUUCAGAGCACUCACUGCAAUAUUCGUGUUUUGGCAGACACAGGGAUUAAAUAUCUGAAGAGAAGGUUCUAUUAAAGAGAUGUUUCAAGAGCCUGGGAAGUCGGAAUAUUUCAUAAGCCAACUCGUAGUGACAAGACCUGCCCCCUGGAAGUGGGAGGGGAGCACUUCCCAAUCAAGCUUCAUUUUCCAAGGGUGGAGAGUAGAAAGAAACGGGGAAGAAGCAUAUUCCUAAAGACGCUAACAUCGUCAGAUACUAGAAAAGCCACUGCAUGUAUCUUGUGUGUCAGCUUUAGAGCUGCCUUCACGUAACUGACGGAUGGGGUAUUUUGUCGCCUAACGUUGAAUACUGCUAAUUAGAGAGGCAAAGAUUGCCUUUUUCUUGAGUUCAUUUUAAAUAAAAGGCUCCAUUGAAACAAUGUCUCGGUAAAAAUUUAGGUACUAGCAAUUGAUGGGUAAAACUCUGUACCUAAGAUUUGUAUUAUAUCGGUUCCAAAAUAAUUAGGUUGGCAAACCUGUUAGGAACACCUCUCCCCUAUGAACACUGUCGUCUGCUGGUUUUCAAAGGAUGGCUACAUCUUACGUGAAAUGUAUUUCCAAGUUUUGCCGAGUAUUAAGGUGACUGGUUUUACUUCUUUUAUUAGAUACUUAGGUUUUCCCUUUUUUUAUAUAUAUAUUGCUUAAAAACAAACCUGCAUUUAGAGGCGUUGUGCUGCCUGAAGCCUCCUUGUUCAACACAGAGAAGAUUUCUCGCUGGUGCGAUUGCCCCCUCUCUUCUCUUUAAGCAAACACUGAAGGCUUUCAGCUGCUGCCCAAGACGUCCCUUUAAGACCCUUAAGGCAGUUUGAAAGGCUUCCAAAAAAGCAUGACAUUCAAUCAAAGUUCAGCAAGGAAAGUUUUAAUGAAUAAACCUGGUAAAUGAGAGAGCAGUGCGGCAGCGUGAUUAACUCUCAUUUGUGCAUUAGUGUUGAAAUUAAUUAAAAUGUUUAAGCCGUAGGAGGCUGGUUGCCUCGUCAGGACCUGGCUCUGCCCUCGGAGUCAGUCUGGAUGCAGGAGUGAUUCAUCUUACACAGAUGAGAGGGGAGAGAAGAAAAGAACAGUCAGGACAAAUGUGUUUUCAGUGAUGCUUAGCCGCAGGGAGACCAUUGAGCCCAGGGAGGAGAGCGGCAGAGUGUGACAUCAUCACGGGCCGGCCGUGCGGAGCCGCGUGACGAGCCUGCACACGCUCCUUGCUCCUCUCUCUUGGCCUGGAGGCUGCGUGUGUUCAUUUCUCUGCCAGGCGGGAUGCCGCGGUCUGCUCUCUUCAGGACCACUCACAAUUCCACUCUUUCCCCGACUCCUUUUAAGCCUGCUUGCCACCGUUAACGUCCG
Equus caballus (horse) is the source of this 1916-nucleotide non-coding RNA. The record is from RefSeq and is a predicted model, not a curated record. Lineage: Eukaryota; Metazoa; Chordata; Mammalia; Perissodactyla; Equidae.